UGCGCCCAUAGCUCAGCAGGAUAGAGCAACGGAUUUCUAAUCCGUCGGUCGCUGGUUCAAAUCCGGCUGGGCGCGCCAU
Molecule: transfer RNA, 79 nt
Filed under: Caldisericum exile AZM16c01
Lineage: Bacteria; Pseudomonadati; Caldisericota; Caldisericia; Caldisericales; Caldisericaceae
Description: tRNA-Arg
Rfam family: tRNA
About the family: Transfer RNA (tRNA) molecules are approximately 80 nucleotides in length. Their secondary structure includes four short double-helical elements and three loops (D, anti-codon, and T loops).
Source: RNAcentral